RNAcentral lists this non-coding RNA (148 nucleotides) under Gorilla gorilla gorilla (western lowland gorilla). Lineage: Eukaryota; Metazoa; Chordata; Mammalia; Primates; Hominidae. The record is from Rfam by way of RNAcentral.
GCCGGGCUUGGUGGCUUGUGCCUGUAGUCCCAGCUACUCGGGAGGCUGAGGCAGAAGGAUCGCUUGAACCCAGGAGGCGGAGGUUGCAGUGAGCCAAGAUGGUGCCACUGCAUUCCAGCCUGGGUGACAGAGCGAGACUCUGUCUCAA